GAUGAACGCUGGCGGCGUGCCUAAUACAUGCAAGUCGAGCGAACGGAUGAGAAGCUUGCUCUUUUGAUGUUAGCGGCGGACGGGUGAGUAACACGUGGAUAACCUACCUAUAAGACUGGGAUAACUUCGGGAAACCGGAGCUAAUACCGGAUAAUAUUUUGAACCGCAUGGUUCAAAAGUGAAAGACGGUCUUGCUGUCACUUAUAGAUGGAUCCGCGCUGCAUUAGCUAGUUGGUAAGGUAACGGCUUACCAAGGCAACGAUGCAUAGCCGACCUGAGAGGGUGAUCGGCCACACUGGAACUGAGACACGGUCCAGACUCCUACGGGAGGCAGCAGUAGGGAAUCUUCCGCAAUGGGCGAAAGCCUGACGGAGCAACGCCGCGUGAGUGAUGAAGGUCUUCGGAUCGUAAAACUCUGUUAUUAGGGAAGAACAUAUGUGUAAGUAACUGUGCACAUCUUGACGGUACCUAAUCAGAAAGCCACGGCUAACUACGUG
This 497-nucleotide ribosomal RNA is filed under the name uncultured bacterium. RNAcentral's name for it is "partial 16S ribosomal RNA". It matches the Rfam family "Bacterial small subunit ribosomal RNA", at positions 28 to 507 of the family's 1533-position model. The record is from RNAcentral.